Molecule: ribosomal RNA, 468 nt
Filed under: uncultured bacterium
Lineage: Bacteria
Description: partial 16S ribosomal RNA
Rfam family: Bacterial small subunit ribosomal RNA
Source: RNAcentral
GACGAACGCUGGCGGCGUGCUUAACACAUGCAAGUCGAACGGAAAGGCCCUGCUUUUGGGGGGGGCUCGAGUGGCGAGCGGGUGAGUAACACGUGAGUAACCUGCCCUUGACUUUGGGAUAACUUCUGGUAACUGGGGCUAAUACCGGAUAGGAGCUCCUGCUGCAUGGUGGGGGUUGGAGAGUUUAGGCGGUUGGGGAUGGACUCGCGGCGUGUCAGGUUGUUGGUGGGGUAGGGUCUGACCAGGUCAUGGGCCCGUAGCCGGCCUGAGAGGGUGACCGGCCAAACUGGACCUGGGAUACGGCCCAGCCCACUACGGGAGGCAACGGAGGGGAAGAGUGUACUAGGGGCGGAGGGCUGAUGUAGCACAGCCGCGCGGGGGAAGACGGGAUGCCGUUUGUGAUCCAAUUUCGUUUUAGACGAGGCGUUAAUGACGGUACCGGGUAAAUAAGCACCGGCUAACUACGUG